UGGGGAGGAUGCAAGCGUUAUCCGGAUUUAUUGGGUUUAAAGGGUGCGCAGGUUGUUUGAUAAGUCAGUGGUGAAAGUCUGUCGCUUAACGGUAGGAUUGCCACUGAUACUGUUAGACUUGAAUAUGGAUGAGGUAGGCGGAAUGUGUAGUGUAGCGGUGAAAUGCAUAGAUAUUACACAGAACACCGAUUGCGAAGGCAGCUUACUAAUCCAUCAUUGACGCUGAGGCACGAAAGCGUGGGGAUCAAACAGGA
RNAcentral lists this ribosomal RNA (254 nucleotides) under uncultured prokaryote. Its description in RNAcentral is "partial 16S ribosomal RNA". It matches the Rfam family "Bacterial small subunit ribosomal RNA", at positions 524 to 777 of the family's 1533-position model. The record is from RNAcentral.